Molecule: non-coding RNA, 25 nt
Filed under: Cricetulus griseus (Chinese hamster)
Lineage: Eukaryota; Metazoa; Chordata; Mammalia; Rodentia; Cricetidae
Source: RNAcentral
GUCAAGAAGGAAGGCUUAACCCCCA